This 500-nucleotide ribosomal RNA is filed under the name uncultured bacterium. RNAcentral's name for it is "bacterial SSU rRNA". It matches the Rfam family "Bacterial small subunit ribosomal RNA", at positions 30 to 505 of the family's 1533-position model. The record is from RNAcentral.
AUUGAACGCUGGCGGCGUGCUUAACACAUGCAAGUCGAACGGUAACAUGCAACUGAAGUGGCAACAUGGAAGUUGUGAUGACGAGUGGCGAACGGGUGAGUAAUGCAUCGGAACAUACCUAGUAGUUGGGGGAUAACUAUUCGAAAGGAUAGCUAAUACCGAAUAAGCUCUGAGGAGGAAAGGUUGGGAUACGAAAGUACCAGUCGCUACUAGAGUGGCCGAUGUCUGAUUAGCUAGUUGGUAGGGUAAAGGCCUACCAAGGCGAUGAUCAGUAGCUGUUCUGAGAGGAAGUACAGCCACACUGGAACUGAGACACGGUCCAGACUCCUACGGGAGGCAGCAGUGGGGAAUUUUGGACAAUGGGGGCAACCCUGAUCCAGCAACGCCGCGUGAAUGAAGAAGGCCCUUGGGUUGUAAAGUUCUUUUAUAACUGAGAAGAAGUCCUAGUUUAAGAGAUGGGGAUGGAGAUAGUAAGUUAUGAAUAAGCACGGCUAACUACG